CAUGGGUUCGUGGGGUCCCUCAGCCUGGCCUGCACCCUCUCGUAAUCUGGGACCCCUCAGGGGAUGUUGGAGAGCCAGCUUUGCCUGAUCCCUGCAGGCCAGGCCGAGGGACCCCACCAGUGCAUG
Myotis brandtii (Brandt's bat) is the source of this 126-nucleotide non-coding RNA. Lineage: Eukaryota; Metazoa; Chordata; Mammalia; Chiroptera; Vespertilionidae. The record is from Rfam.